CAUUUGGGGGUGGGGGUGUGGGGUGUCUAUUAAAAGAGAAGUGGUGCUGUUGGUGUCCACAAUGCCUGUUUGUUGGAACCCAAUAGGGACACUCAACCAGGAUGCCAGAGCCAACUAAAAAAAUAGUCUCAGCUUUCAGCAAGAAACCAAAGUCCCAGACUGCUGAGAUUGGGGCAAGAGUCAUAUUUGAAGCUGAAACUGAGAAGCCAGGUGUAAAAGUGAAAUGGCAGCGAGAAUCCAAGGACAUCUUACCCAGUCACAAAUACACCAUCUCAGCAGAGGACAAUAAGCAUUCUCUCACUAUAAAUAAUAUCAUCCAGGAGGAUGCAGUGGGAUAUGCUGUUAUUGCUGGGAUGUCAAAGGUCAAAUUUGAAUUAAAGAUAAAAGAAUCAGAAGUAAAGGGAGUGGAAAAAGCCAAAUCCCCGGAUCCUGCAGCAGUGGAACAUAAACCUGAAGAAUCUAAACCUGAAGAAUCCAAACCUGAGCCCAAAGAGCCUCCACCAGCCCCAACUGAAAACUCAGCACCAGAAAGCACUGGACCGCCAUCGGAUGGAGUCGCACCUGAAGCUCUGCCUGAGAGUCAUCAGCCUGACACAAGGCAGGACCUUACAGGACUCUUCACUGAGAAACCUCACAGCGGGGAGGUGAAUGUUGGUGAAAACAUUAUUUUCAUUGCUCGGGUGUGUGGUGAGUCUCUGCUGAAGAAGCCCACGGUGAAAUGGUUCAAAGGAAAGUGGAUGGAUCUGGCCAGCAAGUCAGGAAAGCACCUGCAGCUCAAAGAGCACUAUGACCGCAACACUAAGGUGUACACAUUUGAGAUGCAUAUCAUUGCAGCUAAAGCCAACUUUGCCGGAGCCUAUCGCUGUGAGGUGUCAUCUAGAGACAAGUUUGACAGCUGUAAUUUUGACCUCAUAGUACAUGAGGCUCGUACAACAGAAGGGUUUGAUAUUCGCACUGCAUUUAGACGCACGAGCACCAGUGCAGGUGGUAAGAAGAAGAUGGGAGAACCUGGCAGUAGCACAGAUGCAGGUGAUGACUCUGGAGAACUGGACUUCAGUGCUUUACUGAAAAAGAGAGACAGUUUCGUAAAAACGGGCCAGCGAGCUGUUCAUGUGAGCACAGAGCCAGACGUAGAUGUAUGGGAUAUCCUUCAGAAAGCUCCUCCAUCAGAGUAUGAAAAGAUCGCCUUCCAGUAUGGCAUCACAGACCUGCGGGGGAUGCUUAAGAGACUCAAAAAAAUGAAAAAGGAAGAAAAGAAAAGUGCAGCAUUUCUUAAGAAGCUGGACCCAGCAUACCAAGUCGAAAAGGGACACAAGAUCAAACUGGAAAUUGAAGUGGCCAAUCCAGAUGCAGAGGUUAAAUGGCUGAAGAAUGGACAAGAGAUACACCCAACUGGAAGCAAGUACAUCUUCGAGAGUGUUGGCAACAAACGCUUCCUCACCAUCAACAACUGUUCCCUGUCAGAUGAUGCAGCUUAUAUGUGUGUGGUUGGAGAUGAGAAGACCGUCACUGAGCUCUUUGUUAAAGAGCCUCCUGUACUGAUCGUACGCAACCUUGAGGAUCAGAUGGCUAUGAAAGGAGAUCGAGUGGAGUUUGAGUGUGAAGUGUCUGAAGAGGGAGCUCAGGUGAAAUGGGAAAAGGAUGGUGUGGAACUCACCCGAGACGAGUCCUUCAAGUAUCGCUUUAAGAAAGAUGGAUGCAAGCAUGUCCUUAUCAUUAACGAUGUGACCAAGGAGGACUGUGGACAUUACCGGGUCAAAACCAAUGGAGGACAGUCAUUAGCAGAGCUCAUGGUUCAGGAGAAACAGCUAGAGGUCUAUCAAAGCAUUGCUGACCUGACAGUGAAGGCCAAAGAUCAGGCUGUGUUCAAAUGUGAGGUUUCUGAUGAGAAUGUGAAAGGCAUCUGGUACAAAAAUGGAGUGGAGGUGAAACCAGAUGCCAGAACUCUUAUCACACACAUCGGCAGGAUUCACAAGCUCACCAUUGAUGAUGUGAAACCAGAAGAUGAGGGUGACUACACCUUUGUUCCUGAAGGCUUUGCGUUCAAUCUCUCCGCCAAGCUCAACUUUUUAGAGGUGAAGAUUGACUUUGUUCCUCGCCAAGAUCCUCCCAAGAUUCAUCUGGACUGCAUGGGCCGCACUGCUGAGUCCACAAUCUUGGUUGUGGCUGGAAACAAACUGCGACUAGAUGUACCAAUUACAGGAGAUCCUGCCCCCACUGUGAUUUGGACAAAAGGAGAAAAGGAUAGCUCUAAGGAGGGAGAGUCGCAUCCUGACCCGAAAAACACAUGGACAAUGAAGAAUGGUGAAGUGCUGACAGACUCAGAUGGGCGUGUCCAUGUGGAGAGUACCAAAGGCCAUUGCAUUUUUACCAUUGAGGGGGCGGAGCGUCAGGAUGAAGGCGUGUACUCUGUCAUUGUACGCAAUCCAGCUGGAGAGGAUACAGCUGACAUUAAUGUCAAAGUUGUUGAUGUGCCAGACCCACCUGAAGCCCCCCGAAUCUUGAGUGUUGGUGAAGAUUCUUGCGUUGUCCAAUGGGAUGCGCCUCGCUUUGAUGGUGGUCAGCCAGUCAUAGGUUAUGUCCUGGAAAGAAAGAAGAAAAAGAGUUAUAGAUGGAUGAGACUCAAUUUUGAUCCUUAUAAGGAGACCACAUUUGAGGCCAAGAAAAUGAUUGAGGGUGUGCCCUACGAGAUGCGUGUUUAUGCAGUGAAUGCCAUUGGCAUGUCCCGCCCCAGUGCCGCCUCCCAACCAUUUGUGCCUGUUGCUCCUACCAGCGAGCCUAUUGGCCUGUGUGUGGAUGACAUCAGCGAUACCACCAUCUCUCUGAAAUGGAGGACACCAGAGAGGAUUGGCUCCGCUGAGCUUGAAGGUUAUGGUGUUGAGUACUGCAAGGAAGGCUCUGAUGAAUGGAUCCCCGCAUUUUCGGGUCUCACAGAAAGGACCUCUGUGAUCAUCCGUGACCUGCCAACUGGAGAGAAGAUGCAGUUCCGCGUGAGGGCAUAUAAUAUGGCAGGCCCGAGCGCUCCAGCCACACUGCAACAAGCAGUCACUAUCCGUGAAAUCAUGCAGCGGCCCAAAAUCUGGCUCCCCCGUAACCUGCGUCAGACACUCAUCAAGAAAGUCGGAGAAACCAUUAACCUGGUAAUCCCUUUCCAGGGUAAACCCCGACCUCAGGUAUCCUGGACGAAAAACGAUGAGCCUCUGGAUCCUAAAUCAGUCAGUAUACGGAACAGUGACACUGAUACCAUCCUCUUCAUCAGGAGAUCUGAGAGAAAGGAUUCUGGGAAAUAUGAUGUUCAAGUGCAAAUUGAAAAUGUGGAGGACAAAGCCAGUGUGAAUAUACAGAUUGUUGAUGUGCCAGGUCCACCCCAAAAUUUAAAGGUGAUGGAUGUUUGGGGCUUCAAUGUUGCCCUGGAGUGGAAACCACCUAAGGAUAAUGGGAACUGUGACAUCACAGGCUACAACAUCCAGAAGGCUGACAAGAAAACCAUGGAAUGGUACACCGUGUUUGAACAGUAUCGUCGCACUAACUGUGUGGUGUCAGACCUGAUCAUGGGGAACGAGUAUGUGUUUCGUGUUUACGCCGCAAAUAUGGUGGGUCUGAGUCCAGAGCCUUGCCUCUCUAAAGACAGUGCCUACAUCCAAAAAAACAGGUAUUGUGUACAAGCCUCCUUCCUACAAAGACCAUGAUUUCUCUGAGGCUCCCAAGUUCACGCAUCCUCUCAAAAGUCGCUCAGUUAUAGCUGGAUACAACGCUACGCUCAGCUGCUCUGUAAGAGGCAUUCCUAAGCCUAAAAUCACAUGGUACAAAAACAAGAUGGACAUUACAAACGAAGCCAAGUACAGGAUGUUCAGCAAUCAGGGAGUGUUGACUCUGGAGAUCCGUAAGCCGUGCCCAUUUGAUGGAGGAGUGUACAUGUGCAAGGCAGUCAAUGACAGUGGGGAAGACCUAGUAGAAUGCAAACUGGAAGUUCGCCUCCCUCAAGUCACAAAAGAAGACAUCAAGAAAUGAGAGAGACGUAAUGACUUUGGAGAAACUGUCACACUGUCCUCUUUCUGUCUUCUGUCCUGAAACUGAUCCCCGUGAUCAAAUGACAAAGCAAAGAAAUAUUUCAGUGUUUCUUCUUCAUUUGUUUGUGCUUCCCGUUACUCACUCACAUCCCCAUGGUGUGAUUUCCCCCCCUCCCUUCGUUAUUGCUUGUGUUCAUUUCAUUUGAUUGUAUUUAUCAUCUCUGCAGUAGAAUCUAGUAUGGUCACUUCAACACUGUGAUAUUAUAUAACAUGCUAGAUAAAUAAAGCUGAUGUGUAUUGUUCCUGUCUGAAUUUUAUUUAAACCCCAAUGUAUGUACAUUGAUGUUUUAAACUUGUGUUUCAAAGAUUCACAAUUAAAAAUCUCAACGUUU
This is a non-coding RNA of Danio rerio (zebrafish), 4402 nucleotides long. The record is from RefSeq and is a predicted model, not a curated record. NCBI's taxonomy places the organism in Eukaryota, Metazoa, Chordata, Actinopteri, Cypriniformes, Danionidae.